This 839-nucleotide ribosomal RNA is filed under the name uncultured archaeon. Its description in RNAcentral is "bacterial SSU rRNA". It matches the Rfam family "Archaeal small subunit ribosomal RNA", at positions 21 to 859 of the family's 1478-position model. The record is from RNAcentral.
AGGUUACUGCUAUCGGUGUUCGCCUAAGCCAUGCGAGUCAUAUGUUCUUCGUGAACAUGGCGUACUGCUCAGUAACACGUGGAUAACCUGCCCUUGGGUCCGGCAUAACCCCGGGAAACUGGGGAUAAUUCCGGAUAACGCACAUAUGCUGGAAUGCUUUAUGCGUCAAAUGGAUUCGUCCGCCCAAGGAUGGGUCUGCGGCCUAUCAGGUAGUAGUGGGUGUAAUGUACCUACUAGCCUACGACGGGUACGGGUUGUGAGAGCAAGAGCCCGGAGAUGGAUUCUGAGACAUGAAUCCAGGCCCUACGGGGCGCAGCAGGCGCGAAAACUUUACAAUGCGGGAAACCGUGAUAAGGGGACACCGAGUGCCAGCAUCAUAUGUUGGCUGUCCGGGUGUGUAAAAUACACCUGUUAGCAAGGGCCGGGCAAGGCCGGUGCCAGCCGCCGCGGUAACACCGGCGGCCCGAGUGGUGAUCGUGAUUAUUGGGUCUAAAGGGUCCGUAGCCGGUUUGGUCAGUCCUCCGGGAAAUCUGACGGCUUAACCGUUAGGCUUUCGGGGGAUACUGCCAGACUUGGAACCGGGAGAGGUAAGAGGUACUACAGGGGUAGGAGUGAAAUCUUGUAAUCCCUGUGGGACCACCUGUGGCGAAGGCGUCUCACCAGAACGGGUUCGACGGUGAGGGACGAAAGCCGGGGGCACGAACCGGAUUAGAUACCCGGGUAGUCCCAGCCGUAAACGAUGCUCGCUAGGUGUCAGGCAUGGCGCGACCGUGUCUGGUGCCGCAGGGAAGCCGUGAAGCGAGCCACCUGGGAAGUACGGCCGCAAGGCUGAAACUUAA